CGACUAGCCUACGGGUGGCUGCAGUGGGGAAUUGUUCGCAAUGGGCGCAAGCCUGACGACGCAACGCCGCGUGGAGGAUGAAGGUCUUCGGAUUGUAAACUCCUGUUGCCCGGGACGAAAAGCUCCGACCUAACACGUCGGAGUCUGACGGUACCGGGUGAGGAAGCCCCGGCUAACUCUGUGCCAGCAGCCGCGGUAAUACAGAGGGGGCAAGCGUUAUUCGGAAUUACUGGGCGUAAAGGGCGCGUAGGCGGCCUGCUAAGUCGAACGUGAAAUCCCUGGGCUCAACCCAGGAACUGCGUCCGAUACUGGUUGGCUUGAAUCCGGGAGAGGGAUGUGGAAUUCCAGGUGUAGCGGUGAAAUGCGUAGAUAUCUGGAGGAACACCGGUGGCGAAGGCGACAUCCUGGACCGGUAUUGACGCUGAGGCGCGAAAGCCAGGGGAGCAAACGGGAUUAGAUACCCUAGUAGUCC
Molecule: ribosomal RNA, 472 nt
Filed under: Escherichia coli
Lineage: Bacteria; Pseudomonadati; Pseudomonadota; Gammaproteobacteria; Enterobacterales; Enterobacteriaceae
Description: bacterial SSU rRNA
Rfam family: Bacterial small subunit ribosomal RNA
Source: RNAcentral